UACGGGGGGAGCAAGCGUUGUUCGGAUUUACUGGGCUUAAAGGGCGCGUAGGCGGUCGUGACAAGUCACUUGUGAAAUCUCCGGGCUUAACUCGGAACGGUCAAGUGAUACUGUCGGACUAGAGUACAGAAGGGGCAACUGGAAUUCUCGGUGUAGCGGUGAAAUGCGUAGAUAUCGAGAGGAACACCUGCGGCGAAGGCGGGUUGCUGGGCUGAUACUGACGCUGAGGCGCGAAAGCCAGGGGAGCGAACGGG
This 254-nucleotide ribosomal RNA is filed under the name uncultured bacterium. RNAcentral's name for it is "partial 16S ribosomal RNA". It matches the Rfam family "Bacterial small subunit ribosomal RNA", at positions 524 to 776 of the family's 1533-position model. The record is from RNAcentral.